This 793-nucleotide ribosomal RNA is filed under the name uncultured bacterium. RNAcentral describes it as "bacterial SSU rRNA". It matches the Rfam family "Bacterial small subunit ribosomal RNA", at positions 8 to 796 of the family's 1533-position model. The record is from RNAcentral.
AGAGUUUGAUCAUGGCUCAGAUUGAACGCUGGCGGCAUGCCUUACACAUGCAAGUCGAACGGCAGCACGGGGGCAACCCUGGUGGCGAGUGGCGAACGGGUGAGUAAUACAUCGGAACGUGUCCUGUAGUGGGGGAUAGCCCGGCGAAAGCCGGAUUAAUACCGCAUACGCUCUACGGAGGAAAGGGGGGGAUCUUAGGACCUCCCGCUACAGGGGCGGCCGAUGGCAGAUUAGCUAGUUGGUGGGGUAAAGGCCUACCAAGGCGACGAUCUGUAGCUGGUCUGAGAGGACGACCAGCCACACUGGGACUGAGACACGGCCCAGACUCCUACGGGAGGCAGCAGUGGGGAAUUUUGGACAAUGGGGGAAACCCUGAUCCAGCAAUGCCGCGUGUGUGAAGAAGGCCUUCGGGUUGUAAAGCACUUUUGUCCGGAAAGAAAUCCUUCGAGUUAAUACCUUGGGGGGAUGACGGUACCGGAAGAAUAAGCACCGGCUAACUACGUGCCAGCAGCCGCGGUAAUACGUAGGGUGCAAGCGUUAAUCGGAAUUACUGGGCGUAAAGCGUGCGCAGGCGGUUCGCUAAGACAGAUGUGAAAUCCCCGGGCUUAACCUGGGAACUGCAUUUGUGACUGGCGGGCUAGAGUAUGGCAGAGGGGGGUAGAAUUCCACGUGUAGCAGUGAAAUGCGUAGAGAUGUGGAGGAAUACCGAUGGCGAAGGCAGCCCCCUGGGCCAAUACUGACGCUCAUGCACGAAAGCGUGGGGAGCAAACAGGAUUAGAUACCCNNGUAGUCC